Molecule: ribosomal RNA, 253 nt
Filed under: uncultured bacterium
Lineage: Bacteria
Description: partial 16S ribosomal RNA
Rfam family: Bacterial small subunit ribosomal RNA
Source: RNAcentral
UACGUAGGGGGCGAGCGUUGUCCGGAUUUAUUGGGCGUAAAGAGCGUGUAGGCGGCCAGGUAGGUCAGCUGUGAAAACUCGAGGCUCAACCUCGAGCUGUCGGUGGAAACUGUCUGGCUAGAGUCCGGAAGAGGAGAAUGGAAUUCCUGGUGUAGCGGUGAAAUGCGCAGAUAUCAGGAAGAACACCCGUGGCGAAGGCGGUUCUCUGGGACGGUACUGACGCUGAGACGCGAAAGCGUGGGGAGCGAACAGG